UACGUAGGAGGCAAACGUUAUUCGGAUUUACUGGGCGUAAAGCGGGUGUAGACGGCUUUUUAAGUCGGUUGUGAAAUCUCUUGACUUAAUUGAGAGAGGACAUUCGAUACUACUGAGCUUGAGGACAGCAGAAGAAAGCGGAACUCCCGGUGUAGCGGUGAAAUGCGUAGAUAUCGGGAGGAACACCAGUGGCGAAGGCGGCUUUCUAGGCUGUUCCUGACGUUGAGGCCCAAAAGCGUGGGGAGCGAAACGG
Molecule: ribosomal RNA, 253 nt
Filed under: uncultured prokaryote
Description: partial 16S ribosomal RNA
Rfam family: Bacterial small subunit ribosomal RNA
Source: RNAcentral